ACGGGUGAGUAACACGUAGGUAACCUGCCUGUAAGACCGGGAUAACGAUCGGAAACGAUAGCUAAGACCGGAUAACUGGAUUUCCCGCAUGAGAGAAUCAUGAAACACGGAGCAAUCUGUGGCUUAUAGAUGGGCCUGCGGCGCAUUAGCUAGUUGGUGAGGUAACGGCUCACCAAGGCGACGAUGCGUAGCCGACCUGGGAGGGUGAACGGCCACACUGGGACUGAGACACGGCCCAGACUCCUACGGGAGGCAGCAGUAGGGAAUCUUCCGCAAUGGACGCAAGUCUGACGGAGCAACGCCGCGUGAGUGAUGAAGGUUUUCGGAUCGUAAAGCUCUGUUGCCCUAGACGAACAGCAGGGAGAGUAACUGCUCUCUGUGUGACGGUAUAGGAGUAGAAAGCCCCGGCUAACUACGUGCCAGCAGCCGCGGUAAUACGUAGGGGGCAAGCGUUGUCCGGAAUUAUUGGGCGUAAAGCGCGCGCAGGCGGUUGGUUAAGUCUGAUGUUUAAGCCCGGGGCUCAACCCCGGUUCGCAACGGAAACUGGCUGACUGGAGUGUAGGAGAGGAAAGUGGAAUUCCACGUGUA
RNAcentral lists this ribosomal RNA (588 nucleotides) under uncultured bacterium. RNAcentral's name for it is "bacterial SSU rRNA". It matches the Rfam family "Bacterial small subunit ribosomal RNA", at positions 102 to 677 of the family's 1533-position model. The record is from RNAcentral.